RNAcentral lists this long non-coding RNA (1471 nucleotides) under Ursus maritimus (polar bear). Its description in RNAcentral is "lncRNA (ENSUMAG00000019733.1)". The record is from RNAcentral. Lineage: Eukaryota; Metazoa; Chordata; Mammalia; Carnivora; Ursidae.
GCCCAGCUUUCUCCAGCUUUGGGGCGUGUGUGCUCCCACUUUUUCAGCAGUAACGCUCUUUCUCUCUCUUCUGGCUCCGGGAGAGGGUGAAAGGGAGGGUUCUGUCUGUGCAGGGUUGGGUUGGAGUCCGAGGACGCCUACCGUUGGGGAGGAGGGGGAAACAAGCGAGGGGUAGCGUGGCACUGAGCACUGGGGAGGAUAUGCUUUCGCACACUAGACUGGACCCAGCCAUCCGGGAAGUCCUUCGACCUCUACUGAGGCCGACUCUCUGCUUGGGCUUUGGAGAUUAUCUGGCCCUGCAAAAUGAGUGCAAUUGACGACCCGGACGCCUCUCUUACGGAGCCUCUCCUUUCUCCGUCCUUUCCCCUUCAGGUUUCCACUCUCCACCUCCUCUUCACAGAUGCCUUGUCCUCGUCCGGAUUUACCAGCUCCACGUUGAGCCUGGACUCAGAUCUAACUCUCCAAAGAGUCCCCCAAUGCCUGGACCUCCGUGUGCAUUCACUGACCCCACUCUUACAGGAUGGCAUGGUGAAGUCUAAUUUCAUUGAAAUGACCCAGAGGGAAGUAAGCGAUACCAAAUAGGAGACAGGAAAACUGAUUAAAGACAAACUCCAAUGUUUACCACCAUCACUGUCUCUCCUUAUGAAAGUCAACCUCACCUGAGAGAGAGAAGAAACAAAAUAUAUUUUUACAGAAUACAGAGAGAAUGGGUGUGACUGUCUUGGGGUGCCUGAGAAAUUGUUAGGAACUAUAGAAAAUAACUGCUGCUUUAAAGUUACGAAUCAUAGAUUUCUCCCCUGCUGAAGCGAACACCAUCACCCACACCGAAGAAACAAACUUGAAAUCCAGCCAGUUAUGUAAAUCCUAUCAGAAUCAUACAAUAUAUCUUACUUGACUCCAGGAGUGAAAUAAUCACCCUGAAUCUGUCAUCUUGGAAGAUCUUGUUCAAAUUCUUUAUUUUAAACUUCAUUUUCCUUUAUGUUUAGGACCACCCUAGGUGAGUGUAGAGAAGGCUCUGUGCUUGAUUUUACUGCUCACAGGUGUUACAUUUUACAGUAACCUUGACAUUCUGAGGCGACUCCACUUGGCCACCUCAAAUGGUUAACUGAGAUCGGCAUUGGGGCAUUGGUCUCACCUAGCUGGAGCCUUUCUUUUCCCUUCACUUGGGAGCCAAAGCCGAUUAUAAUCAAGAGAAUAGAGGAGUAAGAUAGACAAUGGUUUCCUUCAGCUAAUCUUGUCUGUUUUAGAAGGUCAACUCCCUGGAUUUUCAGUAAAUAAUCACAGUUUUACCUUAUUCCUGGUACCAGGACUUAUUUUCCUGUUUAUCAGUGCUGUAUUUUUCUUUGACAUGUUCAGCAUGCUAUUGCUUUUCUAGUAAUCUGUUUCUCUUUCCCAAACCAUGAAUGUAUUGUCCUUGGGCCUAUUCUCUCACAUUAAGCAAAUAAAACUUCUACGGCUCAGUAAGCCUUCA